Molecule: ribosomal RNA, 301 nt
Filed under: uncultured bacterium
Lineage: Bacteria
Description: partial 16S ribosomal RNA
Rfam family: Bacterial small subunit ribosomal RNA
Source: RNAcentral
CAGUCGCCGCGGGAAUACAGAGGGUGCGAGCGUUAAUCGGAAUUACUGGGCGUAAAGCGUGCGUAGGCGGUUUGUUAAGUCUGCUGUGAAAUCCCCGGGCUCAACCUGGGAAUGGCAGUGGAUACUGGCAAGCUAGAGUGUGUCAGAGGAUGGUGGAAUUCCCGGUGUAGCGGUGAAAUGCGUAGAGAUCGGGAGGAACAUCAGUGGCGAAGGCGGCCAUCUGGGACAACACUGACGCUGAGGCACGAAAGCGUGGGGAGCAAACAGGAUUAGAUACCCGCGUAGUCCCUGUCUCUUAUAC